UGUUUCUCUCCCUUCUUUCCCACUGAGAAUAUCAUGCUGAUGGAGAUAGAAUGGGAAACCUCACUGUGUUAAACACAUUUGCUCUUGUUUUGUGAAAGUGAAUAUUGAGACAGUUUUGGGGGAUUCCUUAAAAAUUAUUUUUUCCUUAGAAAUUCUCUUCCAUGGCCUCUUCCCCUAAAGGUACCUGUGACCCUUACAUGCCAUAUUCUGCUGCAUGUGCUUGUGCAAAAGCAGAGUCCUGGUGGAGAUAGAGCCAGUGAGAAGUAGAGGGGCUGCUGAAAGGCCAAACACUCCAGCCUGUGAACUGUCAGAGAAUGGGGAGUUUAGAAGACUUGUACUAAACAACACCGUUAGAGGAAUCCAGAACAGAUAUUCAUGCUGUGUGACAGUCUUCCACCAACUGUUUUAUUUCCUGUUUAUAUAUGGAUAUUAGGUUGGAAGCUGUGCUUGUCAUGUAGGGGAGAAGGUGAAAACAUGGCCUGGCUUGGCACAGAACCCUGUCAGAAUUACACAGUCAGCUUUGGAUCUCCGUAUCAGCUUUAAAGCCUGCCCCUUUGCCAAGGUGUAACCUAUGCCAACAACUACUUAAGGUUCUGGAGGCUAUAUAAAAAAAAAAAUCUUGUUGAUUCUGAUGUCGUUGCCCUUAAGACAGCAAAGACUGUUCUAGUACAGGUUGUUUUGAUUCCUGCUUAAAGCACCUGGCAAAUUGGCAUGAAUUGCCAGAACUGAUGUGUUUUCAGCAUUCCUCUCACCUGCACUGUCUGUUCAUAGAUUACCAGCAUAUGCUUGCCUGGACUCUGGUGAUUUGUUAUGAGAAGAGGAUGCUAUAUGUGCUGGAAUAGCAGUCGGCUCUGUUGUAGCACAAUAUCUGGUUCUAAACUGUUGUAUGUGACACCCAGAAGAUUACAACAUUCAUUCUUGUCAUGCAGAUGUAGACUUCAGGUCUCAGAUGUUUUAAACUAUGAUCUUACUGUGCUGACUUUUAAUUGGAAGAUAGCCUGGAUGUGGGGUUCCAUAAAAUAAGCAGUAGAUCUGGGGUGCUUCUGAAUAUUAAUUUACACAUUUUUGUGUUACUGAUUUUUUUCUGAGUGUACAAGUUAUAUAAAAUUAUUUUUCAAGCUGUAAACUAGCUGUGAGUGACAGUCUUUACUGAAGAUCUUAAAUAAAAUUUAGUAGGUUUAAUUAAUUGUAUACUUAAUAAGGACUCUCUAUAAUAAAUACUUUCAGUGCAAGACCCUUGUAUGGCUUGGACUACAAUAAAUGGUUGUGCGUUUUAGGGUCUCUUCAUAAAAUACUCUUAAGUGUGGGCUUUGGCUUUAUGUCUGUGGAUGACCAAGGGAUGACAUCCAUGGUUUCUGUUACUAUUGUAAACAUUCUGCACUAUUUAAUAUCAAUAAUGUGUCUUCAUUUGUAAAUUAUUCUUAGAAAAUGUAAAAAUACUCUUUAAAAUCCUCACUUACAAUAAAGAUUUAACAAAAUAAACUCUAAA
Molecule: long non-coding RNA, 1489 nt
Organism: Passer domesticus (house sparrow)
Lineage: Eukaryota; Metazoa; Chordata; Aves; Passeriformes; Passeridae
Exons: 2
Source: RefSeq, a predicted model, not a curated record